This 430-nucleotide ribosomal RNA is filed under the name uncultured Acidobacteriota bacterium. Its description in RNAcentral is "bacterial SSU rRNA". It matches the Rfam family "Bacterial small subunit ribosomal RNA", at positions 1080 to 1507 of the family's 1533-position model. The record is from RNAcentral. Lineage: Bacteria; Pseudomonadati; Acidobacteriota.
UUAAGUCCCGCAACGAGCGCAACCCUUGUCCGCUGUUGCCAUCAGGUAAUGCUGGGCACUCUGCGGAGACUGCCGGUGAUAAACCGGAGGAAGGUGGGGAUGACGUCAAGUCAGCAUGGCCUUUAUGUCUGGGGCUACACACGUGCUACAAUGGCCGAUACAAACCGUCGCGAUACCGCAAGGUGGAGCUAAUCGGAGAAAGUCGGUCUCAGUUCGGAUUGUAGGCUGCAACUCGCCUACAUGAAGUUGGAAUCGCUAGUAAUCGCGGAUCAGCACGCCGCGGUGAAUACGUUCCCAGGCCUUGUACACACCGCCCGUCACAUCACGAAAGCUGGCUGUACUAGAAGUCACCGCGCUAACCCGCAAGGGAGGCAAGUGCCUAAGGUAUGGUCAGUGAUUGGGGUGAAGUCGUAACAAGGUAAAUCCGCGA